This 253-nucleotide ribosomal RNA is filed under the name uncultured bacterium. Its description in RNAcentral is "partial 16S ribosomal RNA". It matches the Rfam family "Bacterial small subunit ribosomal RNA", at positions 524 to 776 of the family's 1533-position model. The record is from RNAcentral.
CACGUAGGGUGCGAGCGUUGUCCGGAAUUAUUGGGCGUAAAGAGCUCGUAGGCGGUCCGUCACGUCGGAUGUGAAAUUCCAGGGCUCAACCCUGGACCUGCAUUCGAUACGGGCGGACUAGAGUUCGGUAGGGGAGACUGGAAUUCCUGGUGUAGCGGUGAAAUGCGCAGAUAUCGGGAGGAACACCGGUGGCGAAGGCGGGUCUCUGGGCCGAUACUGACGCUGAGGAGCGAAAGCGUGGGGAGCGAACAGG